AUUGAACGCUGGCGGCAGGCCUAACACAUGCAAGUCGAGCGAGGGGCGGGCGGGUGAGUAAUGCCUGUCUAUUGCCCGGUCGGGGGGGAUAACAGUUAGAAACGACUGCUAAUCCCGCAUACGGUUGGAUUGCCUAGGUGGGAUUAGCUAGUUGGUGAGGGAAUGGCUCACCAAGGCGACGAUCCCUAGCUGGUCUGAGAGGAUGAUCAGCCACACUGGAACUGAGACACGGUCCAGACUCCUACGGGAGGCAGCAGUGGGGAAUAUUGCACAAUGGGGGAAACCCUGAUGCAGCCAUGCCGCGUGUGUGAAGAAGGCCUUCGGGUUGUAAAGCACUUUCAGCGAGGAGGCGUUACCCGCAGAAGAAGCACCGGCUAACUCCGUGCCAGCAGCCGCGGUAAUAC
RNAcentral lists this ribosomal RNA (404 nucleotides) under uncultured bacterium. RNAcentral describes it as "partial 16S ribosomal RNA". It matches the Rfam family "Bacterial small subunit ribosomal RNA", at positions 30 to 526 of the family's 1533-position model. The record is from RNAcentral.